GACGAACGCUGGCGGCGUGCUUAACACAUGCAAGUCGAACGGUAAAGCCCGGCGCUUGUGGGGGGCGCGAGUGGCGAGAGGGGGUGAAAAAUGCGAGAGACCCGCGCUCUACUCUGGGAGAUCUGCAUGGGACAGGGGGUAAAAUACGGUAGGAGCCCCGUCAGCGCGGGGUGGGGUGGGAAAUUGGUUUUGCUGGGUUUGGAUGGGCUCGCGGCCUAUCAGCUUGUUGGUGGGGUAGUGGCCAACCAAGGCGUCGACGGGUAGCCGGCCUGAGAGGGUGACCGGCCACACUGGGACUGAGAUACGGCCCAGACUCCUACGGGAGGCAGCAGUGGGGAAUAUUGCACAAUGGGCGGAAGCCUGAUGCAGCGACGCCGCGUGCGGGAUGACGGCCUUCGGGUUGUAAACCGCUUUCGGCUGUGACGAAGCGUGAGUGACGGUACUGGGUGAAGAAGCACCGGCUAACUACGUG
This 472-nucleotide ribosomal RNA is filed under the name uncultured bacterium. RNAcentral describes it as "partial 16S ribosomal RNA". It matches the Rfam family "Bacterial small subunit ribosomal RNA", at positions 28 to 507 of the family's 1533-position model. The record is from RNAcentral.